UGAGUGUUAUGAUGAUGGAAUCCUAUUCUGAUUCUUAGUCUAGCUCUGGUCUACCGCUGAGCUUGUCUCAGCGGU
This is a non-coding RNA of Streptococcus suis 05ZYH33, 75 nucleotides long. The record is from Rfam. NCBI's taxonomy places the organism in Bacteria, Bacillati, Bacillota, Bacilli, Lactobacillales, Streptococcaceae.